Non-coding RNA from Gasterosteus aculeatus aculeatus (three-spined stickleback), 6669 nucleotides. The record is from RefSeq and is a predicted model, not a curated record. Lineage: Eukaryota; Metazoa; Chordata; Actinopteri; Perciformes; Gasterosteidae.
UAAUUCAUAAUUCUUUGCUCAAAAUAAGUAAACAUUACUAAGUCAAGAACGAUUUUAUUUCGGAGCGCAACCUUAUGCAUUACAGGGUAGGAAUUACCAACUUGUGCAUUUAUGUAUUGCGUUUCCCAGAACCUGGAAUGUAAAUACAUAAUAAACACAACGUGAAUAGCCUGCGGUGGUUGUGGGGCGGCUCCACCGGGAUCCAGCGGAAUGACUGACCCGGUCGCAGCUUUAGCACUCGGAGAAAGCAUUCAAAUGCUGUGAAACAAACGAGAACAUUCAAGGUCGACCAGGAGAACGAGAUCUUCCCCGCAGCAAGGUCUCACCACAUGCUCUACACCCCCCCGCCCCCCACGCAGCUCGCAUGUCCUCCUCUGCAGGCCCGCAGGGUGUUGCUUGUUAAACCAGAACGAAAGUGGAGGUCAGCGACCCCGCAUGUGGAUGGUAGUCUGUCACCUGGGAACCUCUGCGGACGCUUUUGCAGGUGAAUCCUGCCAGUUUUAUGGAUUACACCAGUACAACAGUGGGCAUUUUGUUUGGUCACCAGUGGUUUAUAAGGUUCCGUUUCCAUUUAGUUGAUGUUCUGUCCCGCGACUCUAAACGAAUUCAACAAUCUCGAGAUUGUAAUCAGCGUUAAUAUAACCUCAAAUGUGUCUGUCUGUUUGGAUUUAAUUUAUUGGCGGUGUGGUCUCUCCCAGGCCCGAUGCCAUGGAGGCGAACGGUGCUCCUUCCGUAAACAAGGUCCCUGUUCGUUAAUCAAAAGAACACUUGAUUAAAUUUCAACGUGGAGAACAUUGUCAUGGAAGAGAAGAAGACAGAUCAACAGGUUCAGACUGAUAUUUCGACUUGCCGGGACGAUUCCCGAUUCACCGAGAGACAGAAAUGGACGCUUCACCACGCAGCCACAUGAGCCACGUUCGCUUUGUCGCUUCUCUCGGGGACUUCCCAUCGAACGGAGCCCCCCGACCGAGAGCCGGCAUCCGCGCUGCUUCAGUGCCCCCGAGCCACGGCUCUCAGUACCUACGAGCAGACAUGCCAGAUGGAACGAGGCCCCAAAUUUUCUGCCCGGCAACCAUAUCCAGCUCUGUGAAAAAAACAGGCUUCUAGACCAACAGAACAAACACCAUUUCCAGGGCUCCAAUUUCACAAAAUGAUAUUCAUCAUUCAUUGGUAAUGGAGUCUUGUUACAGGUAAUUAUAUAGUAUAAUAUUCUGUAGUCCAAAUACAUAAAUGGCAAACUCAUAAAGGUGCUGCUCCGUCUCAGUUUACAGUUUUUUUUAUGGUUAUUUGGACCUGCGCUCUCCAUGCUGACCCCAUUUCAUAUCUCACCUCCAAACUUGAUGAAAUUCCCCUUUUCAGAAUGUAAAAUUGCAUUUAAAUUUGAAGUCACAAGAAAGUGAUGUUUAAUGUUCGUUGGUGUUUAAGUCGGAUGGUUGAUAUCCUCCAUCUAUCUCAUGUCAUAACUUCUGCUGGGUGUCUUCUGUGGGGGGAAACAUCACCCGACAUGUUGCAUUGUGGAGCCGCAGCCUCCAUUUGGGGUUCACUCUCCCUUCUGCUGAGAGCCGGAGCGCUUCUCCACUCCCUGUGUGCACAGACAGUGAUGAAGAGGUCUGUGGGUCUGAGGGGGGCCGGGGGCUCCAGCCACCUGAUGGAUGGGCAUUCCUCAGCCCCCCCCCUCCCCCUCUGAACCCCCACUCACCCUCUCCUUCUAGGUGAUGAACAAGCUCAUUACUAUGGCCCACUCAUAAAAGGAGGCCAUUAUCUCUUCACAGCGCACUUUGAACUCUGAGAAAGGAAUCCACCCCCCCGCCCGCCCCCCCCGUCUGGGGCUGGUGGUUACGUAAUGCGGUCAUGGCGCGCGGGUGGAAUAUGUGGCUCACGGCCAAGUGCAUCCCACGCUGGGAUCAGCUCCAAGAUGCCGCCGCGGCCGCGUUGGCCGGAUUCUAGCUCGCCGGCGACCCGAGACCGCCUGUGUCUCUAUCGGGCCUCCAGCAGCCUGUCGACUUCACUGGCGGCGAGGAGGAGACGUUUAGACGGGCAAACACAACUUCUUUAUGAAGGCAUGAAGUGCGUAACGCACGGAACCAAAGGAAGAAAACUUUAUCCUGAGUCCUGUGUCGAAAGUGUCAAUUCCCCAGUGGCGCUGAAGGAAAAGUCAGAGGGUCAAAGGUCAGUCAGUUACUUGUUAGUUAGGUCACUUCUAAUGUUUAGGACAAUAUUUAAAGAUGUAAAUGUGAAGUGACAACACGGCAGCAUAAACGGGUUUAUCUGGAUUUUCCACUCAGAGUUGAGUGAGUUACUCUAACUGACCGAUUUUGACACGAACGCCGCCCAAGACGACGGCCGUGGGACUAACUCCUCCACUUCCACUUUCAAUAGAAACAUUGAAAACACCUCGUGAAUCUGUAUCGAGGUCACGGCAACUUUUCGCUCCUCUUUCACACAAAAAACCCCCCCAAACGACCCAUAAACAAACCCCCAAACGUGCAGCGCCUUACACAUCCACACGCGUGCAUGGAGGGAAAAGACUCACACCUCUUUCCCCUGAAGGUUUGAGGAGCCCUGUUUGAAUUCACCUAUCACCAUGACAACUAGUCUCUCUUUACCGGCUGCACCCGUGGGAGGUUUUCGCCCAGCCUUUUCUAAUUUCACACUGUGUGGAUAUCUCCAUUCAGUAAUUACAAUCCCAUCCAUUCUCAUUUUCCCUGUCCAGACAAUGUGCCCUGAAUAUACACACACACACACACACACACACACACACAAAAACAUAUAUAUCUAUCUCACCUCUUCAGACGUACACAUCGCACGUACACACACAAGGAUGGACCGCCUGUGUUCAUGGACACACACAGGCGCCGUGGGAGUGUGUGUUUGGGGGAGGGUGUGCGAGGGAGAGAUAGAGGGGGAGAGACAGAUGUGAACUGUCACGACUCCGAAUUCACCGACGCACACAAUCACACAAAAGCACAUCGCUCUCAAAAUCCAAUUACAAGCCAACUCGCGGCCGCUGGAGUUGGGCUCGUUGUUGAAAAGUUUAAAUAAUUGCAAAGUAAUAGGAACUCAAAUCAACAAGAUUCGCCCUGCAAAUAAGCCCCGGCAGCGUAGAGACAGGGUGGAAAUACGCGAAUCCCCCCCGAGCGACGCUUCUCCUCCACGACCACGGCCUUCGCCGAGGAGCCGAUCGGCCCGGAGGCGUCGCUUGAGACGCGGCCCGUUGUUCCUCCGCUCUCCUUUCUCGUGCCGCUCGCCGUUUUAAUACACGUGAUGUGAUGCAUAUUGAUCAAGCAACUGAACCAAUAUGAAAACCUUUGUUGCUUAAUACCUGUUAGAUUCACACACCGAUGGCAAAUGAAAUGAAGACAUUACAUUAAGUCCAAUUUAAAGUUUAAACUUAAUGUAAUAAACUGGAGGCCGAGGGACCUUUGAUGGGAUCAGGACAGUAAACAGCGACCCGGCUUAACCGAUGUUUACCACACAACGCUUUUAGGUCAUUGCUGUGUCGGCCACAUCAGCCACCCGAGCCGAUAUCAACACAGAUAGCGUGCUGGCUGGUAGGAAGGAGGAGGAAGGUCGACGGGGGUCAUUACGGGGGGUUAAAGCCGUGGGAGUCGGUCAGAAAUCCAGCUAAUGUAGACGACAAAAUAAGAAAUGUAGAUGGAGACGGAUAGAUUUAAAAUGUCCUUUGAAGCAUAGUGUUUAACGGAGAGUAUAUAAAUGGGUGAUAUAUGAAGUCAAAAGACUAAACCAAAAACAGACAAUUAGUCACCAAAACUGCGUGUUCACUGAUCCUCGUCUGAAAUAAAACACAGCAACCUAAAGAAGCUAAGAGAAAGUAUGAUGGGCAAACAUCUGCACCACUAAAACAUGGCGUCCUCCGCUUUGUUCUAAUAUGACUGUUGUUCACUUCACUGAAAGCGCACGCGUUGUGAGAAAAGGGGCCUUAAUGCAGUUAUAACUUUCUGUGUCUGGUUAAAAGCACUCACGCCGGACCGAGUAAACACAUACGGAGGAAACGGGGAUUGUUCAUGAAACCUUCCCACACUGCGCAGCGCUUCCCGCCGCCAACGCUCCAAAUAUUUGGCCACCCACCCAAAAAAAACGCCGCUCCGAAGCCGCGCAAACAACGUGUCAUUUUCAUGCCUUUUGAUCACGGAGCUAUUCUGAGUGAACCUCCCGAGGUUUCUCACUCGGGGCGCGAGGUGCUCCGGCGAUGCGCUGCCGGAGUGAUAAGCUGAGCUCCCUCUUCUCUCCCUUUUCACUUUUAAGGAUUGAGAUUCUGAAAAAGAAUAAUAAAACAACUGUCAGCUAAUUGGCAAUGUGAGUGCUCCUAUGGAGGGAUAAAAAAAAAAAAAAUACAAUGAAAGAAACUACAAAGUGACUCCACAAGGGAGAAGCUACGGUGCAAGCGCACACACACACACACACACACACACACACACACACACACUCAGGUUUUAAGGGCAUUCCCUCGUCGCCUACUUUUAUGCUCCCAUUGUUCAGUUUUUCCCUCUUCUUUUCUUUUCCUGCACACGAGAUACUUCGUUCCCCAGCAAGGCUCCGUCUGAAGAAGUUUACUUGAAGCGACCUCCUCCACCCAGACUGGAGCACUUUGUUUUAAAAGUCACGAGAGCUCAGCGGAGGUGUGACUGCACAGACCCCCCCGGUUAGGAAACCCUCCACUGAAUCAUCAGGAGACCCGUCAGACUGAAAUCCGGCCCAAGAGCGAGUAAAUAAAAAUGGCGGCAACAUAAUGCUGAAGACUGAUUGCUUCCAAAAUAAAUGGUCGAGAUUUUGGCAACGAACCGAAUUCCGCAACGAAUAUCAGCAGAAACACAGCAUCUGGGAUCUCAAUGCUGGCUCGCCGUUCAUGUGAUGCUUUUGAAAUCAAAUCAAGCCCCGCGAACAACAAGCAGGCGCGCUGCAGCUCCUCGGAUGUGACGGUCGCUCCGGGUCACCGGAGGCCGGCUCUCCACCAACAAUCCUCUAUUUUCAGUGCCUCGACUCGAUGCUGGAAGCUUGAAACAAUGAGCUUAAUACUUAAAGGUCGGCCUUAUCUUAUGGACUAAUCGAUUGCGAUGGAAAAUAUGUGCGACAACUAAGCUCCAUGUAAUUUCCUGCAGCAUAAAAGAAGUGUUGGUUUAUAUCUGAUUAUCGUUAUUACACCUGCAGUCACAGCUCUACAGGCGCACACAGGCAGGCCUGCUCAUUCGUGCACAAACCGCACAAACAAACAAAUCACUCACACGUCGACGGUGCAGAAAAAGAGGAAGCCCGUCGACAUUGUUCCUUGCACGGAUCAAACGACACAAGCCGCCGCAUGGCGGAGGACACGCAUUCGGUCUCUUCCGCCCUGCUAAUAAUAUGCUAUCAUUGGGCCCGAGCACAAAUGCACCGCUCACGGCCAUAAUCUUGUUGUCAGCUGUCUCGCUCCGUGGAUGACGUGCAGACACUCAAAGCCAUUUGGCAUGUAGGGCUGAGAUCCCACAGCCCCGGCUUAAUUGGAUUUUGAAAUGUGGUGUGCGUGUGUGUGUGUGUGUGUGUGUGUGUGUGUGUGUGUGUGUGCGUGCGUGUGUGCGUUCACGUGCAUUGGUAGUUCAGCACAUCUGAGUGUUUUCAUACGUAUGCAUGUGCUCUCACAUCAAAUAAAACAUUUUGCCGUCAGGUGGAACCCUCAUGAAUCACAUCUUUCUAGGAGAGGAGGGGGGGAAAAAAAAGCCUUGAUCGAAAAACAGCUCGUGUUUUGAGUUGAACCUUUUGCUUUCAGAGGGGGUUCGUCAGCUGGGGAAUUUGUUUCUUCUCAGCCUGCUGGAUGAGCCGCUAAGUGCGUAAGUUUAUUUAGUGCGUAUGUCUGCUCUCUCAUCUGCUGGACUUGUUGUUUUAUGACUCAAUGCUCAAAGUAUCUCUCGUGGUUUCCCUGAUUUACACUUUUUGUAAAAAGCGUUGGAUGUCGACGUCUCUGCAUUGAGGGAACGUUAUUUUUAUGCGAUUGCUUAUUACAUUACAUGUGAAUUAGCUGGCUUUACAUUACACCCAGGGAGCAAUUAAGUGUCUUGCUCAGCUGGGAUUUGAACCACCAACCUUGUGGUUCCCAGCGCACCCUGUCUACUCCAUGCGGCACCGUCUCCCAUGACAGAGAGUAAUGGAACAAGAGCAGAAAAUCAAACGGGUUGUCCAAUAUCUGCAGGGCAAAAAGAAGGCCGACUGGUUAAUAAUUGCUCAAAGUGUUUGUUAAACAUCCAUAAGAGUUUACCCAUGAGAGCUGUCUUAAAACACACAGACGCUAAAUCUGGUUCAUCGUUAUUUCAUGCACCACUAAGCAAUGACGUUCUGAUGUUGCCAAACUUUUGGAUAUUAGCAAUUCAUUUGGUAAAUCAUAUAUAAAAUAAAUUGUAAAGAUGAUGUGAAAAACACAAACUGAAACCAGAAAUGCGCUUUGUAAUGGAAAAAUAUCAGCAAAUGUUCUUGAUUUGACAAAUGUUUGACAAUAUCAAAUGUUUCAGUCAUUAAUACAUAAGUGAUGUGUGUUAAUAAACACAUGUUAAUGCAAUUGCCUAACUCUUUGCACAUGAAAUGAAGGGAUCUCGUCUUAAAAUAGAAAUAGAACCUUCUUCUGGUUUGGUGCUGUGAUGCAAAAGUGCACCGAUUGGAAUAAAGUUGUCGCUGAUUUAA